GAUGAAGAACGUAGCGAAAUGCGAUAAGUAGUGUGAAUUGCAGAAUUCAGUGAAUCAUCGAAUCUUUGAACGCACAUUGCGCCCCUUGGUAUCCCGAGGGGCAUGCCUGUUCGAGCGUCAUUUCACCACUCAAGCCUGGCUUGGUGUUGGGCGACGUCCCCUUUGGGGACGCGCCUCGAAACGCUCGGCGGCGUGGCACCGGCUUUAAGCGUAGCAGAAUCUUUCGCUUUGGAAGUCGGGGCCCCUUCUGCCGGAAGACCUACUCGCAAGGUUGACCUCGGAUCAGGCAGGGAUACCCGCUGAACUUAAGCAUAUCAAUAAGCGGAGGA
RNAcentral lists this unclassified non-coding RNA (329 nucleotides) under soil metagenome. RNAcentral's name for it is "partial contains 5.8S ribosomal RNA, internal transcribed spacer 2, and large subunit ribosomal RNA". The stretch from base 1 to 120 matches the Rfam family "5.8S ribosomal RNA", at positions 35 to 154 of the family's 154-position model. The record is from RNAcentral.